RNAcentral lists this unclassified non-coding RNA (344 nucleotides) under uncultured fungus. RNAcentral's name for it is "partial contains small subunit ribosomal RNA, internal transcribed spacer 1, and 5.8S ribosomal RNA". The stretch from base 1 to 73 matches the Rfam family "Eukaryotic small subunit ribosomal RNA", at positions 1759 to 1831 of the family's 1831-position model. Lineage: Eukaryota; Fungi. The record is from RNAcentral.
GCAAACUUGGUCAUUUAGAGGAAGUAAAAGUCGUAACAAGGUUUCCGUAGGUGAACCUGCGGAAGGAUCAUUAACUAGUGCACACUGUGCGUCAACCUGUGCAUUUCUUUCUUUUCCUGGUUUUGCUGGUGGCACUGCAAGCAGUGCCUACUACGACAAACAAAGUGAACUCGCUAGCUGUCCAGCGGAUUGCUGGAGGCAGCCCUUAGGGGUAGGGUUAGGGUUUGUUGUGGGACAGCAAAGACCAGCAAAGAGGGAUGGUAAAGAUAUAGAGUCUUAUAGCGAGUAAAUAUACAACUUUUAGCAAUGGAUCUCUAGGCUCCUGCAUCGAUGAAGAACGCAGC